Molecule: non-coding RNA, 156 nt
Organism: Diplonema papillatum
Lineage: Eukaryota; Euglenozoa; Diplonemea; Diplonemida; Diplonemidae
Source: the annotation of a GenBank genome assembly
CUGCCUUCUCGGCCUUUUGGCUAAGAUCAAGAACCUCUAAACCACAAUAAACGCUAUCAAGUGCAGUAUCAGCUCUUUGUUGCCUUAGUGGGGAGAUUUGCAUGCGCAUGAGAGCCACACUAUGCCCUUUCGCUAGUGGCUCUGGAAGGAUCAUUG